RNAcentral lists this ribosomal RNA (444 nucleotides) under uncultured bacterium. RNAcentral's name for it is "bacterial SSU rRNA". It matches the Rfam family "Bacterial small subunit ribosomal RNA", at positions 355 to 796 of the family's 1533-position model. The record is from RNAcentral.
UGGGGAAUUUUGGACAAUGGGGGCAACCCUGAUCCAGCGACGCCGCGUGAAGGACGAAGGUCUUCGGAUUGUAAACUUCUUUUGAAGGGGAUGAAUGUCUGCGUGAAAAACGCAGAGUGACAGUACCCUUUGAAUAAGCCACGGCUAACUACGUGCCAGCAGCCGCGGUAAUACGUAGGUGGCAAGCGUUACUCGGAAUCACUAGGCGUAAAGCGCAGGUAGGCGGUUCGAUAAGUCUUUUGUGAAAGCUCCUGGCUCAACUGGGAGAGGUCAAAGGAAACUGUCGGGCUAGAGUGUGGCAGAGGAAACUGGAAUUCCCGGUGUAGCGGUGAAAUGCGUAGAUAUCGGGAGGAAUACCUAUGGCGAAAGCAGGUUUCUGGGCCAUCACUGACGCUGAUCUGCGAAAGCUAGGGGAGCAAACAGGAUUAGAUACCCCCGUAGUCC